Non-coding RNA from Doryrhamphus excisus (bluestripe pipefish), 199 nucleotides. NCBI's taxonomy places the organism in Eukaryota, Metazoa, Chordata, Actinopteri, Syngnathiformes, Syngnathidae. The record is from RefSeq and is a predicted model, not a curated record.
CUACACACCGGUAGCGGUGUGUGGAGAAUCGCUGCAGGGGCCGUCCACCGGCGCAACGCUGAACUAAAAAGAGCAGUGUUCGAUCACAUCUAUGGAAUUGGCCAGGUUUUGAUGGCAAGCUAGGAACCCUGCAUUGAGGCAACACGCCUGGAAGCUGGAAGCCCAGAUGAACUGAUGAGCUGUCACCCACCUGCUUUGC